GAUGAAGAACGUAGCGAAAUGCGAUACUUGGUGUGAAUUGCAGAAUCCCGUGAACCAUCGAGUCUUUGAACGCAAGUUGCGCCCGAAGCCAUUAGGCCGAGGGCACGCCUGCCUGGGCGUCACACGUCGUUGCCCCCCCAUCUACUCCUUCGGGAUUGCGGGGGGCGGAUGAUGGCCUCCCGUGCGCCUCGUCGCGCGGUUGGCAUAAAUGCCAAGUCCUCGGCGACGCACGCCACGACAAUCGGUGGUUGCGAAACCUCGGUUGCCCGUCGUGUGCGGUCGUCGCGCAUCGAGGGCUCGAAAAAAUUACCGGGCUCCGGCUCGGCUUUCAACGCGACCCCAGGUCAGGCGGGGUUACCCGCUGAAUUUAAGCAUAUCAAUAAGCGGAGGA
RNAcentral lists this unclassified non-coding RNA (391 nucleotides) under soil metagenome. RNAcentral describes it as "partial contains 5.8S ribosomal RNA, internal transcribed spacer 2, and large subunit ribosomal RNA". The stretch from base 1 to 122 matches the Rfam family "5.8S ribosomal RNA", at positions 35 to 154 of the family's 154-position model. The record is from RNAcentral.